Molecule: ribosomal RNA, 460 nt
Filed under: uncultured bacterium
Lineage: Bacteria
Description: partial 16S ribosomal RNA
Rfam family: Bacterial small subunit ribosomal RNA
Source: RNAcentral
CCUACGGGAGGCAGCAGUGAGGAAUAUUGGUCAAUGGACGCAAGUCUGAACCAGCCAUGCCGCGUGCAGGAAGACGGCUCUAUGAGUUGUAAACUGCUUUUGUACGAGGGUAAACGCAGAUACGCGUCUCUGUAUGUAAGUAUCGUAUGAAUCAGGAUCGGCUAACUCCGUGCCAGCAGCCGCGGUAAUACGGAGGAUUCAAGCUUUAUCCGGAUUUAUUGGGUUUAAAGGGUGCGUAGGCGGUCGGAUAAGUUAGAUGUGAAAUCCCGAGGCUCAACUUGGGAAUUGCCUCUGAUACUGGUCGGCUUGAGAGUAGUUGCGGUAGGCGGAAUGUAUGGUGUAGCGGUGAAAUGCUUAGAGAUCAUGCAGAACACCGAUUGCGAAAGCAGCUUACCAAGCUACUUCUGACGCUGAGGCUCGAAAGCGUGGGGAGCAAACAGGAUUAGAUACCCGGGUAGUC